AUGUUAGCAAUUUCUGACUAUCUCCUUAAACCUCUCCCAAGCUUCAAACACAGUCUCAGUAUCUUUCUGGCAGAAGUUAUGGAUUUCUCUUCUAAACUU
Molecule: small nucleolar RNA, 99 nt
Filed under: Nicotiana tabacum (common tobacco)
Lineage: Eukaryota; Viridiplantae; Streptophyta; Magnoliopsida; Solanales; Solanaceae
Description: Plant small nucleolar RNA R71
Rfam family: Plant small nucleolar RNA R71
About the family: R71 is a member of the C/D box family of snoRNAs containing the C (UGAUGA) and D (CUGA) box motifs.
Source: Rfam by way of RNAcentral